GGCUAAUUCACAGGUCCUUCCAUUUAGAAGGACCUGAGAGGUAUACUGGAUAAAACUUCAGGUUCUACACAAGAAUAGUUAAGACACUCUGAAGAGUCAAAAUAAGGCAAAAUAUUAAAAAAAUUUUUCCUGGAACAACUGGAAAGCAACUAAAAGCAGGCAGAAAAUGGAGUGGGAGCCCUAAACCUAGAUGAAGAAAAUGGAACUGGACUUCCUCUCUGCCUGCUCUGAUUUUUGGAUGCUGCAGGUGAAGCACCUUACCUGUCCCAGCUUUACAUUCAGGCAUUAAAUGCUGGCAGUAAGCUCAUACCAGCCCUUGGAUAGGGCAGAGAUGAGAUACUGUUUGACUUUAACAGAGAAAUGAGAUCCUAGUGAAGACACUCUCGGGCACCAGAUAUGAACUAGCAUGGAAAUGGCCAAAUUCGACCUUCAAAUUCUGCUCUCUUUUGGAUUUCUUCUUCACAUCAGAUAACCAUCAAAAAGAAAGUAAACUUUCAAGGGAAUGAUUUGUUGGAUUAUGGUCUCAGAUUUCAAGAAAUAGGGCUUCUAGGGAAAAACAUCAGCAUGUGUGAUUUCAUGAGAGGAGGGGAAAAGGUGGGUCUAAGGCAGAACACCACCUCUGCUCAAAGAUGUUACUCAUCUUAUAUCACAUUUCAAUUCUUCCCUCAUCCUUCCUCCAGUCUUCAGAAAUGUGAAUUUUGGUCACUGUUGGCCUUGCCUCUUAUUGCAAAGAAAGUCUUGUCAUUUAGUGACUGGGAAACAGCCUGUUGUCUGAAUUGUAUUUAAAAUUAUUGUGCAACUGGGACCAUAAACAUGAAUGUAUAAAGGUUCACAGUCUUCCCUCUCUGUGACUGCUAGCUUGUCUCCAGGACUUCUGUGAAGCUAACCAGGAAAGUGAGUAGAAGGAUCUUGGAAUUGGAAGAUAAGAUACAGACUAGGAUUUUUUUUUUUCAAUUUUAUAAAGAAACAAAUUUAUUUAUUUUUGUGUUUUGUUGGGAGAGAGGGAGGAAAGAAACCAGAACCCUGAAUGCAAUGCAAGGAUGAGAAAGAGAUUUGGUGAGUUGAGCAAGUCUUUGAAAAGAACUUCAGAAUGGUGGGAAAUAGAAAGAAAGAUGUAGAAAUAAUUGUUAGGACGUCUCCUAGAUAUUCUUUUGACAUUCUUCAAGAGUCCUUGGUAAAUAUUUGAAUUACUUUCUGAUUAAUCUUGGUGUUCAAAGUUGUGUUUAUUUGAAUGUCACAUAAACUGGACCAUAUGGGUCAACAGGUUUAAAUUGACUUCUUUUAUCCAUAUAGAGAGAAAUCAAUAUUACAGGUAGGAGGAACCCAACUAAUCAGAAUUUUUUCUUAGCUAAUUUAACUUUCAUUUUCCCUGAGAACUCUUAAGAGAAAUAAAUAAAUGAAAGGCAAUUAUUUCUUACAAGAAAUUCUGUUAGAACACACACAUACGCAACCGUUACAGAAUAGAUACACGCUUCAACCUUCAAUACUUUCUAUAAACACAACUCUAAUCAGUAACAUGAACAUUCCACUGAAAUUUAAAAUGAUGGCCUGAAAUACUUUUUGAGUCGUGAUUUUUGUACAUACUAAAGAAAGAUAGCCAAAAGUGAUUUUUGGCAUAAGACCCAAUCCCUCUGGCCUGAGGUAUUGUAAUGAAAGGUAGUUUGUCGCAUACCUGUCUGGCUACCUAAACCCACUUCCCGCUUGCCCCAAGCACACUGUGCUGGCAGUGAGCCACACUUUUCUUUCUAAACAGGAGAAAUAGGUUAAAGACACAGCAUGCAAUUCUGAAGGGACCCUGGAUCAGUCACUUAAGGACACGUUUGGAAAAGAAAAUCUCACUUUGAUGCACCAAUCAUUUUUUACUGUUCCUUUUCUUUAAAAGAUGGGACUUUAUGAGCAAUACCUUAAGGAGAAGCACACUAAGAUUUCUCUCUACUCUGAGGAAACUCUAAAACAUUGAAGGGCAAAAUAACUAGAUUUUUCUUUCCCUUUGGAAACUUUUUCUCAAAAUGACCCAUUCCUACCAGGCCUUUGGGACUCCUCAGGUAUGUUUAUACUUCUCUAUUAAGACAAAGGGGCAGGCCCUCACACCCACAUAGCAUUGAUAGACAUUAAUGUUGUGGCCAGCUUUUUUUGUUUGGGCUUUUGUUUUUGUUUUAUCUCCUUUAACUUCUGUUAAGAAGAAAACCCUGAAUUCCAGCUUCCAUCAAUUGGCUGUCAUCCCAGGCAACACAAUUGGCAAAGCCCUGAGUCCUAAGACCUCCCCAAAACAGAGAUGCCGGGGACUGGAAACAGGUACCACUGAUUAUUUUAGCAGUGGAGGCCUUUUGUUGUCAUUUGCCACUGUUACUUACACAGUCGUGACUUUCAAGUUUCUCAUUUAAUCUUGUUUCCACUGAAGUUUUUAUCCUGAUUCUUUCCUCCUCUUCCCAGGCCCUGGCUUGUGACAUCUCUGCUAGGAUUGAUAUCAACACCAUGGUUGUGUUUAUGUCUCCCCCUGCAUGCCAGGCUCACUGAUGUGGUGAGUGGAGCUCUGGGAAGCCGAGCUGAGGAAGCUGAGUCAUCAGUCACCAUCUCUUGAUUCCCUGGUUCUGACCAAAAUGACAGAGGCUCCUCUCACUAAAGUGUACUGGGAGACCACAGCAAAAAAAAGGCAAGGGACUUCUCCAUUUGACUCUAACCACUGUAAAAAAGAUCACAUUUUCGUCAUAGCAGUAGGGAGAUGUUAGUGUGGAAAUCUCAAUGCAGCUUCCAUUCCAUUUUGGUUUUCAGGCCACAGCUUAAAUGACCCUUCCUAAAUGGGAAACCACUUUGAAAAUCUACUAAAGCUUUAUAUAGGCAUAAUCUGUGAUCCAGCAUUUUCUCUUCUGAAUAUAUAUAUGCAUAUAUACAAUAUAUUUAUAUCAUAUAUUCAUAUAGAAUACACAUAAUAUAUGUAUAAUAGAAAUCCAUUCAUAUGUUCACCAAAAGACAUGUACAGGAAUGUUCAUAG
Callithrix jacchus (white-tufted-ear marmoset) is the source of this 2992-nucleotide long non-coding RNA. RefSeq lists it as uncharacterized. The record is from RefSeq and is a predicted model, not a curated record. Lineage: Eukaryota; Metazoa; Chordata; Mammalia; Primates; Cebidae.